Molecule: ribosomal RNA, 254 nt
Filed under: uncultured bacterium
Lineage: Bacteria
Description: partial 16S ribosomal RNA
Rfam family: Bacterial small subunit ribosomal RNA
Source: RNAcentral
CACGUAGGCACCAAGCGUUGUCCGGAUUUAUUGGGCGUAAAGAGCUCGUAGGCGGUUCGGUAAGUCGGGUGUGAAAACUCUGGGCUCAACCCAGAGCCGCCACCUGAUACUGCUGUGACUAGAGUGCGGUAGGGGAGCGGGGAAUUCCCGGUGUAGCGGUGAAAUGCGCAGAUAUCGGGAAGAACACCCGUGGCGAAGGCGGCUCUCUGGAACGCAACUGACGCUGAGACGCGAAAGCGUGGGGAGCAAACAGG